AUACUCUGGUUUCUCUUCGGAUCGCAUAAAUCUUUCGCCUUUUACUAAAGAUUUCUGUGGAGGAAUGUAUCUGUCUUCUGGACAAGAACUUUGCGUGUAGGCUGUCCAGAGCUGGC
Molecule: small nuclear RNA, 116 nt
Gene: U5
Rfam family: U5 spliceosomal RNA
About the family: U5 RNA is a component of both types of known spliceosome. The precise function of this molecule is unknown, though it is known that the 5' loop is required for splice site selection and p220 binding, and that both the 3' stem-loop and the Sm site are important for Sm protein binding and cap methylation.
Source: Ensembl